UCGGGGCAAGAGCCAGGCCUCG
This 22-nucleotide non-coding RNA is filed under the name Arabidopsis thaliana (thale cress). Lineage: Eukaryota; Viridiplantae; Streptophyta; Magnoliopsida; Brassicales; Brassicaceae. The record is from RNAcentral.